CAGUAGCCACGGUAACACCAGCAGCCCAAGUGGUGGUCGCGAUUAUUGGGCCUAAAGCGCUCGUAGCCGGGCCGGUAAGUCCCUUGUGAAAUCGGACGGCCUAACCGUUCGGCGUGCAAGGGAUACUGUCGGUCUUGAGGCCGGGAGACGUCCGAGGUACUCCGGGGGUAGCGGUGAAAUGUUCUGAUCCUCGGGGGACCACCGGUGGCGAAGGCGUUCGACGAGAACGGGCCUGACGGUGAGGGGCGAAGGCUAGGGGAGCAAACAGGAUUAGAUACCCCAGUAGUCCCUGUCUCUUAUU
RNAcentral lists this ribosomal RNA (301 nucleotides) under uncultured bacterium. Its description in RNAcentral is "partial 16S ribosomal RNA". It matches the Rfam family "Archaeal small subunit ribosomal RNA", at positions 459 to 759 of the family's 1478-position model. The record is from RNAcentral.